This 92-nucleotide transfer RNA is filed under the name Mycoplasmopsis synoviae GX11-T. RNAcentral's name for it is "tRNA-Ser". It matches the Rfam family "tRNA". From Rfam's summary of the family: Transfer RNA (tRNA) molecules are approximately 80 nucleotides in length. Lineage: Bacteria; Bacillati; Mycoplasmatota; Mycoplasmoidales; Metamycoplasmataceae. The record is from RNAcentral.
GGGUGAUUACCCAAGCCUGGUUGAAGGGAGCAGUCUUGAAAACUGCCAGGGCUUCACGGGCCGCGGGGGUUCGAAUCUCUCAUCACCCGCCA